RNAcentral lists this unclassified non-coding RNA (309 nucleotides) under Hevea brasiliensis (rubber tree). Lineage: Eukaryota; Viridiplantae; Streptophyta; Magnoliopsida; Malpighiales; Euphorbiaceae. The record is from RNAcentral.
GACAAUCUAUAUUCAAAAUAAUGACUUGUUAUUGGUAAAGCACUGGAUAGAACUAGCUAAUCUAACAAGACUAGAUGUAAAAGUUAACAAGUGAAAUUAUAAUAUUGCCCAGGAGUGGUGAUUGAUAAGUUACUUUGUAGUAAAUCCAAAUAAAAAUAAAAAUAAAAAACUACUAUAACAGUGAAGCAGAAAGGUAUGAAGUGUAAUGGCCAUUAUGGUAGUGAUUUUCAAAGGGGUACUAUGUAAUGGCCUUUACUAGCUGAAAAAAUGUCUAUGGCUUUUUUAAUGUUAUUAUAUAUUUUUUUCUCA